RNAcentral lists this long non-coding RNA (1755 nucleotides) under Equus caballus (horse). RNAcentral describes it as "lncRNA (ENSECAG00000053160.1)". Lineage: Eukaryota; Metazoa; Chordata; Mammalia; Perissodactyla; Equidae. The record is from RNAcentral.
CAAGGUGCUAUCGGCAGAGGGUCAAGAAAGGUCCUGUUCCUCGAAGCCGGAGCUCGCGCACUGUCCGCUCAGGGACCCAACCUCCCCCAACUCCACCGUGUUUGUUUGGCCCAUAGUCAUUUAUUUUUACUUUCUAUUUUGAAAUAAUUAUAAAUUCACAGGAAGUUUCGAAGGUCGUACAGAAAGGCUCCUUGUCGCUUGGCCCACUUUCCCCCAGUGGUUCCAUCUUGCGUAACUGUAACACAAUGGCAAGCCCAGGAGACGGACGUUGGGACAGCGUGUGUGAAGACUUCUGUGCCGUUUGUCCCACGUGCAGGUUGGGGUCACCACCACCGCAGCCAAGACACAGGACCAUUCUGGAACCACAGAGCCCUCGCUUGUGAUGCCCUUCAUCACAGCAAAGCCGCCUCCCCCAACCCCGACCCCCGGCAACCACCAAUCAGUCCCCGUCUCUGGGAGUUUAUCAUGUUGAGAAUGUUGUAUGAAGAGAGGCAUACCGUGUGUGACCUCUGAGGUGGGCUUUUCUCACCCAGCACAGUGUUAGCCCUUGAGACCCACCCAAGUGUUUCGUUUGCCACCACCGGGUGCCCACCUUUGCUGAGUACGUCCCACCAUCCACCUGCUGAGGGACGUGCUGGUUGUUUCCGGGUUUUGGCUGUCACAAACAGAGCUGCUGUGAAGAACUGUGUGCAGGUUUUUGGGUGGACACCCGUUUUCAUGGCUCUGGGAUAAACGCCAGGAGUACGAUUGCUGGGUCACCCGGGAAGCGGAUGUUUUAGCCUCCAGUCAUUUUUUAAAAACUUUGUUAGUGGCUGACAUUUUUCAAUGAGAUUUCACAUUAUAUUCUAGUGAGGGAGACACAGUAAACCAAGAAGUCCCUAUAAUGUACAAAUAAACGUAAUUCCAGAUGCAGCACGCAUAGACUUCCAUCCUCCCGUGCUUUCCCGCCGUCCUUACCCGGCAUCCAGUCCGCCUCGCUGACCCACACGCCCUGUGGGUUGCCAUCCUCUCCUAGCUCCUGUCUCCUCCAGCGACACCAGGCCAACCCCAUUUCUGCCUCAGGGCCUUUGCACGAGGCCUCUCUCCCUGGGAAGCUCCAUGAGGACAAGGACGGUGUCUGUUGUGGUUACUGCAAUGUCCUCAGUGUCUGGAACAGAGCCUGCCACUGGGCGCGACUUGAUAUAGAGUUUUCAAACCUUCUAUUUGGAACUCGUUUCAGACUUACCAAGAAGUUCCAGCAGCUGCACCGAGCCCCUCUACCCCGACCCGACUUCCCCCAACGCUGGCCUCUCACGUAACCAUUUCAUCAGGAAAACCAAAAAAUGUAACGUUGCCCCAAUACUGUGAAUUGACUCAUUUGAAUUUCACUUCAUUAAAGAAAUUCAUUCCAUUAACGUCCUCGUUCUGUUCUAGGAUCCCAGCCAGCGGCCCACGUCGCAUUUAGUCACCUCUCCUAGUCUACUGCAGUGCGGAUGUUCCACAGAACAGCCUGUCUUGUCUCCUAUGACCUCGACAGCUUUGAAGAAUCAUGAUCGCCUACUUUGCAGAAUGUCCUUCCGUUUGGGUUGAAGGAUGUUUUCUCAUGACAGGAAUGAGAGUGUGCAUUUCUGGCAAGAAUGGCGGGGAAGUGAUGUUGUGUCCUCAGCGCACCACAUCAAGGGUCCGUGCUGUAUGUACUCCCCCCCAUCACUGUUGACAUUGACCUUGAUCACUUGACUCAGGUGGUGUCUGCUGGGCUCCCGCACUGUAACGUUG